AGCAGCCGCGGUAAUUCCAGCUCCAAUAGCGUAUAUUAAAGUUGUUGCAGUUAAAAAGCUCGUAGUUGAAUUUCGGGGUCAGUAGGUUGGUCAUGCCACUGGUAUGUACUGGCCUCACUGAUUCCCCCUUCCUGAUGAGCCGUAACGCCAUUAAUUUGGUGUUGCGAGGAACCUGGACUGUUACUUUGAAAAAUUAGAGUGUUUAAAGCAGGCUAACGCUUGAAUACAUUAGCAUGGAAUAAUGAAAUAGGACGUUCGAUCUUAUUUUGUUGGUUUCUAAGAUUGACGUAAUGAUUAAUAGGGAUAGUUGGGGGCAUUAGUAUUCAAUUGUCAGAGGUGAAAUUCUUGGAUUUAUUGAAGACUAACUACUGCGAAAGCAUUUGCCAAGGAUGUUUUCAUUAAUCAAGAACGAAAGUUAGGGGAUCGAAGACGAUCAGAUACCGUCGUAGU
Molecule: ribosomal RNA, 450 nt
Filed under: uncultured Glomus
Lineage: Eukaryota; Fungi; Glomeromycota; Glomeromycetes; Glomerales; Glomeraceae
Description: SSU rRNA
Rfam family: Eukaryotic small subunit ribosomal RNA
Source: RNAcentral